RNAcentral lists this ribosomal RNA (429 nucleotides) under Chloroflexota bacterium. RNAcentral's name for it is "Chloroflexi bacterium partial 16S ribosomal RNA". It matches the Rfam family "Bacterial small subunit ribosomal RNA", at positions 355 to 776 of the family's 1533-position model. The record is from RNAcentral. Lineage: Bacteria; Bacillati; Chloroflexota.
UGGGGAAUAUUGCACAAUGGGCGCAAGCCUGAUGCAGCCAUGCCGCGUGUAUGAAGAAAGCCUUCGGGUUGUAAAGUACUUUCAGCGGGGAGGAAGGGAGUAAAGUUAAUACCUUUGCUCAUUGACGUUACCCGCAGAAGAAGCACCGGCUAACUCCGUGCCAGCAGCCGCGGUAAUACGGAGGGUGCAAGCGUUAGUCGGAAUUACUGGGCGUAAAGCGCACGCAGGCGGUUUGUUAAGUCAGAUGUGAAAUCCCCGGGCUCAACCUGGGAACUGCAUCUGAUACUGGCAAGCUUGAGUCUCGUAGAGGGGGGUAGAAUUCCAGGUGUAGCGGUGAAAUGCGUAGAGAUCUGGAGGAAUACCGGUGGCGAAGGCGGCCCCCUGGACGAAGACUGACGCUCAGGUGCGAAAGCGUGGGGAGCAAACAGG